This 152-nucleotide transfer RNA is filed under the name Chthoniobacterales bacterium. RNAcentral describes it as "tRNA-Arg". The record is from RNAcentral. Lineage: Bacteria; Pseudomonadati; Verrucomicrobiota; Spartobacteria; Chthoniobacterales.
GCAGAUGGCCAGGGUGAAACAGAUUGGUUGAGACUUUGGCUUAUUUUCAGAGACAAUUUCGCCCAUGUGUGAACGGUUCGUGUGAACCGUCACUGAUGGGCAUCUGACUACGGAUCAGAAGGUUUGAGGUUCGAGUCCUCAUGGCUGCGCCA